Molecule: ribosomal RNA, 435 nt
Filed under: Oribacterium sp. oral taxon 372
Lineage: Bacteria; Bacillati; Bacillota; Clostridia; Lachnospirales; Lachnospiraceae
Description: bacterial SSU rRNA
Rfam family: Bacterial small subunit ribosomal RNA
Source: RNAcentral
GAUGAACGCUGGCGGCGUGCCUAACACAUGCAAGUCGAACGGAGUCCAGCCUUAGAGACCUUCGGGUCAAAGAGGGGAAGACUGAGUGGCGGACGGGUGAGUAACACGUGGGCAACCUGGCUCAUAGAGGGGGAUAACAGAGAGAAAUUUCUGCUAAUACCGCAUAAGCACACACUGCCGCAUGGCAGAGGGUGAAAAGAGAAUCGCUAUGAGAUGGACCCGCGUCUGAUUAGCCAGUUGGCAGGGUAAGAGCCUACCAAAGCGACGAUCAGUAGCCGAUCUGAGAGGAUGAACGGCCACAUUGGGACUGAGACACGGCCCAAACUCCUACGGGAGGCAGCAGUGGGGGAUACUGCACAAUGGGGGGAACCCUGAUGCAGCGACGCCGCGUGAGUGAAGAAGUAUUUCGGUAUGUAAAGCUCUAUCAACAGGGAA